UACGGAGGGGGCUAGCGUUGUUCGGAAUUACUGGGCGUAAAGCGCGCGUAGGCGGACCUGCAAGUCGGGGGUGAAAGCCCGAGGCUCAACCUCGGAACUGCCUUCGAUACUGCGGGUCUCGAGUCCGAGAGAGGUGAGUGGAAUUCCUAGUGUAGAGGUGAAAUUCGUAGAUAUUAGGAAGAACACCAGUGGCGAAGGCGGCUCACUGGCUCGGUACUGACGCUGAGGCGCGCAAGCGUGGGGAGCAAACACG
This 253-nucleotide ribosomal RNA is filed under the name uncultured bacterium. RNAcentral describes it as "partial 16S ribosomal RNA". It matches the Rfam family "Bacterial small subunit ribosomal RNA", at positions 524 to 776 of the family's 1533-position model. The record is from RNAcentral.